UGUGAAUGACCAGUUCAAGCUGUUGGGACCU
Molecule: non-coding RNA, 31 nt
Filed under: Rattus norvegicus (Norway rat)
Lineage: Eukaryota; Metazoa; Chordata; Mammalia; Rodentia; Muridae
Source: RNAcentral